RNAcentral lists this transfer RNA (70 nucleotides) under Bufoceratias thele. RNAcentral's name for it is "tRNA-Tyr". It matches the Rfam family "tRNA". From Rfam's summary of the family: Transfer RNA (tRNA) molecules are approximately 80 nucleotides in length. Their secondary structure includes four short double-helical elements and three loops (D, anti-codon, and T loops). Further hydrogen bonds mediate the characteristic L-shaped molecular structure. tRNAs have two regions of fundamental functional importance: the anti-codon, which is responsible for specific mRNA codon recognition, and the 3' end, to which the tRNAs corresponding amino acid is attached (by aminoacyl-tRNA synthetases). tRNAs cope with the degeneracy of the genetic code in two manners: having more than one tRNA (with a specific anti-codon) for a particular amino acid; and 'wobble' base-pairing, i.e. permitting non-standard base-pairing at the 3rd anti-codon position. The record is from RNAcentral. Lineage: Eukaryota; Metazoa; Chordata; Actinopteri; Lophiiformes; Diceratiidae. RNAcentral also lists the same sequence under 1 other name.
GGUAAGAUGGCUGAGUUUUAAGUGGUGGGUUGUAGCCCCAUAAAGAGAGGUUCGAGUCCCCUUCUUAUCA